ACCCAAAGCAUUUAGUCAGGAUGAUGAAGCUUUUUUUUUAUAUCCACUUCAUCGUCUGUUACGUCUUUGGAAGAAUAAUACAGUUCGUCCCGUGUUCCCAGUGGCUUUAUGUCAUUGGAUCUUGUACCGUUUUGGUACGAGAUUUUAGUUCACAUUUUAGAGUUGGAUAGUUUUUAUCCGACUCGCUUUAGAACUGUCACGGAAUCUUUUUUUGAGUAGAAAUUAAUCCUUUGUGCUUUAAUUUUAUAUUAAAGUAACAUAUUCAAUGAUUUAUUUCAUAGUAUAGAGGCCGACAUCC
RNAcentral lists this small nucleolar RNA (298 nucleotides) under Candida maltosa Xu316. RNAcentral describes it as "Small nucleolar RNA snR191". It matches the Rfam family "Small nucleolar RNA snR191". The record is from Rfam by way of RNAcentral. Lineage: Eukaryota; Fungi; Ascomycota; Pichiomycetes; Serinales; Debaryomycetaceae.